UACGUAGGGGGCGAGCGUUGCCCGGAUUUACUGGGCGUAAAGCGCACGUAGGCGGCUCCGUAAGUCUGGUGUGAAAUCUCCCGGCUCAACCGGGAGGCUGCACUGGAUACUACGGGGCUCGAGGGCAGGAGAGGAGAUUGGAAUUCCCGGUGUAGCGGUGAAAUGCAUUGAUAUCGGGAGGAACACCAGUGGCGAAGGCGGAUCUCUGGCCUGCUUCUGACGCUGAGGUGCGAAAGCUGGGGGAGCGAAAGGG
This 253-nucleotide ribosomal RNA is filed under the name uncultured bacterium. Its description in RNAcentral is "partial 16S ribosomal RNA". It matches the Rfam family "Bacterial small subunit ribosomal RNA", at positions 524 to 776 of the family's 1533-position model. The record is from RNAcentral.